CUCUCUGCCCUUUCGGGUAGGGGUAAGGCUCGUCUACAUAUUACCCUCCCCAGACCCCACUUUGUGGGACUAUACUGGGUAGUUGCUGUUGUUGUUGUAUGUUAUUGAAUGAUGUUGCUGUAAACAUGUUGGAAAAGAAUUAUAAUAAAUUUUGUUAAUUGUUUCACACAUAUGUUCAAACAUCUUGGAUGUUCCUAGCGUGAUAGUACCAAAAGUCAUUUUUAUGAACUUGAUGUGCACAAAAGUACAUAAGAAAGAAUGUAUAAAAGUAUAUACAGUAGAAACAACCAAUACCAUAGAAGAAAUUCCUAUUACAUAUGUCUAUGCAUUAACAAAGUUAAAAGCUAUAAGCCUAUAACCACCAAAGUCCAAACAUAAUCUCUACUCUCAGUCGUAUUGGAGAUAAUUUUCAGUAGUUUUAAAAAACCAUAGAAGAGAUUCCUAAUACAUAUGUCUAUGCAUUAACAAAGUUAGAAGCUAUAAGCCUCUAACCACCAAAGUCCAAACAUAAUCUCUACUCUCAGUCGUUUUGAAGAUAAUUUUCUACAACAACAACAACCACCACCACCCAGUAUAAUCCCACUUAGUUGGGUCUGGGGAGGGUAGUGUGUACGCAUACCUUACCCCCACCCUAGGGUAGAGAGGCUGUUUCCAAAUAGACCCUCGGCAUCCUUCCCUCCAAAAACUUCCCACAAAAGUACAUAAGAAAGAAUGUAUAAAAGUAUAUACAGUAGAAACAACCAAUAUCAUAGAAGAAAUUCCUAUUACAUAUGUCUAUGCAUUAACAAAGUUAAAAGCUAUAAGCCUAUAACCACCAAACGUAAUCUCUACUCUCAGUCGUUUUGGAGAUAAUUUUCAGUAGUUUUAAAAAAUAAGUUAGGCCCAACAACCAAUUACACAUCAACCAUUGAACUUGAAUUAAAGCCGGACCACCAUACUAAACACGCCAGAGAGGAAAGAAACUAAAGAAAAUAUAACACAUACAUGCUCUGGAAGAUAGUUUCACCUGCUAAUCAUCUCUAAAUAGUGUUAUUUUUUCAUGAAUAUAAUUUCAAUUCUAUGUCUAAAAUUUAAUAAUUGGGAAUGAUAGAGCAGGACUAAACCGAAGGUAAAGCAAGAAAUAUAACUUGUGGUAAUCCAAGAACAGUCCAUCCAAUUAUAAUGAUGAGAUUGUUCUAGUCAUAGCAACGAAACCUUUUCUAUAGCCUUCUCAAGCAAUGUCACCACAUCUUCUACAGACCAUAGAAACAUGCCAAUUAAGGUAAAGAAGUAUUAUGUCUCUGACUCUCCUUUAACAUGGAAAAAGAGAUAAAGAUUUUGCUAACUGGUGAUAAUUCAAAGAUGUAGAACCAAAGCUAUAAAAAAGUGUGUGUGUAUAAAGAGAGAACAACAACAACAACUACCCAGUAUACUCCCACCAGGUGGGGUCUGGGGAAGGUAAUAUGU
RNAcentral lists this long non-coding RNA (1446 nucleotides) under Nicotiana benthamiana. Its description in RNAcentral is "long non-coding RNA (NBEN_LNC018245)". Lineage: Eukaryota; Viridiplantae; Streptophyta; Magnoliopsida; Solanales; Solanaceae. The record is from RNAcentral.